GACGAACGCUGGCGGCACGCUUAACACAUGCAAGUCGAACGAGAACUUCGGAGCUUGCUCCGGGGGGACAGUGGCGAACGGGUGAGUAACACGUGAGGAACCUGCCCCGAAGACCGGGAUAACACCGGGAAACCGGUGCUAAUACCGGAUGCCCUCACUGGAUCGCAUGGUCCGGUGAGGAAAUGGAUUCCGCUUCGGGAUGGCCUCGCGGCCUAUCAGCUUGUUGGUGGGGUAACGCCCACCAAGGCUUCGACGGGUAGCUGGUCUGAGAGGAUGUCCAGCCACACUGGGACUGAGACACGGCCCAGACUCCUACGGGAGGCAGCAGUGGGGAAUCUUGCGCAAUGGGCGAAAGCCUGACGCAGCGAUGCCGCGUGCGGGAUGAAGGCCU
This 391-nucleotide ribosomal RNA is filed under the name uncultured bacterium. Its description in RNAcentral is "bacterial SSU rRNA". It matches the Rfam family "Bacterial small subunit ribosomal RNA", at positions 28 to 417 of the family's 1533-position model. The record is from RNAcentral.